UAAUUUUUAUUUUUAAUUAGAUAUAGGAUGAUAACAUUUUGGUUUUAUUCUUGUGGUGUAUAACUUAUAAGGAUGUUUUAACUAUCCUUUUGCUUUUCAUUAUAUUACUUUCCUAUAUGGCCUUCUCAUCAUGUUUGUACAUUGCGAUCAUAUUUUUCCACUCAUUGAUAUUUUUUUCUCUAAUUCCAGUGCAGAAAACAUAAAGAUCUUUAUCUAUGUAUGGCAAAGUGCCCUAGUGGGCCAUCUGUGAAGUUUUUAGUUAAUGCCAUGCAUACAAUGGAAGAAUUGAAGCUUACAGGGAACCAUCUGAAAGGUUCCCGUCCAAUUUUGACAUUUUCAUCAAAUUUUGAUAAAGAUGUCCACUAGAAACUUCUGAAGGAAAUGAUUAUUCAGAUUUUUGGAACUCCUAAGGAGCAUCGACAUUCUAAACCGUACCAUGAUCAUGUAUUUGUUUUCUCUAUUGUUGAUGACCAUAUCUGGUUCCGGAAUUACCAGGUAUGCUUUAUUUAUUUCCUACUUGCUACAGAAUUUAAUACUAACCAUGAUCAUGCUUUAUUUAUAACCAUCACUCCGUUAGCAACACCACCUGAGGAACAAUGCGUGUUUUUAGUGAAGUACGUUAAGGUAUAUAUGGAUAAAUGUCAGAAGUGUCGUUCUUAAGAUAUGAGGCAUACAAUCGUCAUUAGGAAAGGAAUUUGGCAUGGCAAAAAAUUAAUUGAUUUGAAGAGUUUGAGAU
Molecule: long non-coding RNA, 736 nt
Organism: Cucumis sativus (cucumber)
Lineage: Eukaryota; Viridiplantae; Streptophyta; Magnoliopsida; Cucurbitales; Cucurbitaceae
Exons: 3
Source: RefSeq, a predicted model, not a curated record